This 483-nucleotide ribosomal RNA is filed under the name uncultured bacterium. RNAcentral's name for it is "partial 16S ribosomal RNA". It matches the Rfam family "Bacterial small subunit ribosomal RNA", at positions 30 to 507 of the family's 1533-position model. The record is from RNAcentral.
AUUGAACGCUGGCGGCAGGCCUAACACAUGCAAGUGGGGCGGAUGAAGGGGGUUUGCCCUUGGUUCAGGCGCCGGCGGGGUGGGAAUUGCCUGGGAACUUCCUGGGAGUGGGGGGUAAAGGUCGGAAACGGGGGCUUAUACCCGAAAAGGUCUGGGGGAGGAAAGGGGGGGUCUUCGGGCCCCAAGGUUUUCGGUGAGCCUAGGUCGGAUUAGCUAGUUGGUGGGGUAAAGGCCUACCAAGGCGACGAUCCGUAACUGGUCUGAGAGGAUGAUCAGUCACACUGGAACUGAGACACGGUCCAGACUCCUACGGGAGGCAGCAGUGGGGAAUAUUGGACAAUGGGCGAAAGCCUGAUCCAGCCAUGCCGCGUGUGUGAAGAAGGUCUUCGGAUUGUAAAGCACUUUAAGUUGGGAGGAAGGGCAGUAAGUUAAUACCUUGCUGUUUUGACGUUACCAACAGAAUAAGCACCGGCUAACUUCGUG